Molecule: ribosomal RNA, 1368 nt
Filed under: Microthia havanensis
Lineage: Eukaryota; Fungi; Ascomycota; Sordariomycetes; Diaporthales; Cryphonectriaceae
Also listed under: 1 other name
Description: eukaryotic LSU rRNA
Rfam family: Eukaryotic large subunit ribosomal RNA
Source: RNAcentral
GAAAAGAAACCAACAGGGAUUGCCCUAGUAACGGCGAGUGAAGCGGCAACAGCUCAAAUUUGAAAUCUGGCCUCGGCCCGAGUUGUAAUUUGCAGAGGAUGUUUCUGGCGCGGUGCCUUCCGAGUUCCCUGGAACGGGACGCCACAGAGGGUGAGAGCCCCGUAUGGUUGGACACUAAGCCUGUGUGAAACUCCUUCGACGAGUCGAGUAGUUUGGGAAUGCUGCUCAAAAUGGGAGGUAAAUCUCUUCUAAAGCUAAAUACCGGCCAGAGACCGAUAGCGCACAAGUAGAGUGAUCGAAAGAUGAAAAGCACCUUGAAAAGGGGGUUAAACAGUACGUGAAAUUGUUGAAAGGGAAGCGCUUGUGACCAGACUUGCGCCGGGCGGCUCAUCCGGGGUUCUCCCCGGUGCACUCCGCCCGGCUCAGGCCAGCAUCGGUUCUCGUUGGGGGAUAAGAACGGCAGGAACGUGGCCCUCCUUCGGGUGGGUGUUAUAGCCUGCCGUACGAUACCCUGACGGGGACCGAGGUUCGCGCUCCGCAAGGAUGCUGGCGUAAUGGUCAUCAGCGACCCGUCUUGAAACACGGACCAAGGAGUCGUCCAUUAGAGCGAGCGUUUGGGUGUCAAACCCGCACGCGUAAUGAAAGUGAAAUUAGGUGAGAGCUUCGGCGCAUCAUCGACCGAUCCUGAUGUUCUCGGAUGGAUUUGAGUAAGAGUUUUAACGGACGGACCCGAAAGACAGUGAACUAUGCUUGUAUAGGGUGAAGCCAGAGGAAACUCUGGUGGAGGCUCGCAGCGGUUCUGACGUGCAAAUCGAUCGUCAAAUAUGAGCAUGGGGGCGAAAGACUAAUCGAACUGUCUAGUAGCUGGUUACCGCCGAAGUUUCCCUCAGGAUAGCAGUGUUGACCUUCAGUUUUAUGAGGUAAAGCGAAUGAUUAGGGACUCGGGGGCGCUUUUUAGCCUUCAUCCAUUCUCAAACUUUAAAUAUGUAAGAAGCCCUUGUUACUUUGUUGAACGUGGGCAUUCGAAUGUAUCAACACUAGUGGGCCAUUUUUGGUAAGCAGAACUGGCGAUGCGGGAUGAACCGAACGCGGGGUUAAGGCGCCAGAGUGUACGCUCAUCAGACACCACAAAAGGCGUUAGUACAUCUUGACAGCAGGACGGUGGCCAUGGAAGUCGGAAUCCGCUAAGGACUGUGUAACAACUCACCUGCCGAAUGUACUAGCCCUGAAAAUGGAUGGCGCUCAAGCGUACCGCCCAUACCCCGCCCUCAGGGUAGAAACGAUGCCCUGAGGAGUAGGCGGCCGUGGAGGUCAGUGACGAAGCCUAGGGCGUGAGCCCGGGUCGAACGGCCUCUAGUGCAGAUCUUG